UCAGUUUCCCCAAAUGAGAUGGACUCCUGGUGACUGACAGAGAUGCCCAAAUUAAGAGGACAGGAACCCAGCAGCUGUGGGGAAUGAGAGAAGGGCAGUCACGUGCCCUUUGCUCCCAGAUAAGGCAGCUCCCAGCAAACACCCCGCGUGUGCCUCUGGGCUAAGAUGGACCUACUGCCGGAGCUGGGACCCAUUGCUGGAAACUCCUUCCACCAGCUGCGCCAGCUGCCCAAAAGGGACACCCAACAGAGUGACCUCUGGUUUCCAGCUUAGAAACUACCCAACUGAGACUCGGUUAUUUUUAACCAACCAGGACUGAACACAUUUAAAUACUUCAUGUGCAUGUAUAGACCUGGGGAGGUGGUUCUGGAUUAUCUGGAGCGGGGAGGGGGGACAAUAUAUAAUUACCAGGGUCCUUGCAGGAGGGCGGUGGGGGUCGGAGGAGGAGGUGCAGCGAGGGGAGCGGAGUGGCUUUGAAGAUGGGGGAGGUGCCAGGAGCCAAGAAACACAGUGGCUGCUACAGCUGGGAGAAGGAAGGAGAACGGAUUCUGCCCUGGGGCCUCCGGAAGGAACACAGCCCGGCCAGCACCUUGGUUUAGCCCUGUGAGCCUGAGUUUGGACGUCUGCCGCCAGCAGCCGUGGGAAACUAACACAAUUAUUGUUGCCAUUAUUAUUUUUAGUGUUCCGCCAUUAUUAUUUUUAGUGUCUCCUCCUUCCCUUUCUUUUAUGUCUGCCUUCAAGAUACAAUGUCUUGAGCUUAAACCAAUCUCUCCCCAUUUCCUUCUAGAUCUCCCCCCAUUUCCUUCUAGAUCUCCCCCUGUUUCCUUCUAGAUCUCCCCGUUUCCUUCCAGAUCUCCCCGUUUCCUUCUAGAUCUCCCCCUGUUUCCUUCCAGAUCUCCCCCUGUUUCCUUCUAGAUCUCCCCCUGUUUCCUUCCAGAUCUCUCCCUGUUUCCUUCUAGGCAGGGCUGGCAGGAGGUCAGCCGUCUUUCAGUGUAGAUUUCAGCCCCACUCCAGGCUCCUUCUAAAUCUUAGGAGAUUUAGGAGAUGAGUUUGGGGUACAAAAGUCUCCAUUAAAAAAAAAUAAACAGCAUCCCAGAAGAUUCUUACACAUAAAGUUUAAGAACCACCAGUUUAGAUGCAAAAUGUAUUCCAUAUUUAAUUUUUACUUGUCCUUACUAAAUAUUUGCAGCAAAAUCCACAAGUUCCAGCAGAGGGGGAUGUUACUGCAUGAAAGGGGGGAAAAAAAUAAAAACCAAAAAACCUUUGGCAGGAAAGUGGGAUUUGACAAGCUCCGUGUUCCAGAGCAGGAAAACGAAGCCGCUUCCUUGCAGAAGGUGUCUGCCCGGGAAAGUGCCUCUCCGCCGCCCAGCCUCCUAGGGAGCUCAGAUGAGUCUUGGUCCCUGGAUGAAGGACUGAAUGGAUGGAAAUUUUAACUACAAGAGGGAAAGAAACUGACGUUUCUUUAGCAGGCUCCUUGUGCAAGCAGCUCGUAUGUUGUAGCCUCCAAUCCUCAACCAUCCCGCAAAAUCCGGAUUAGCGUCUCCGUUUUGAAGAGGAAGCAACUCAGGAUCAGAGGCGCUCGGAAAUCCGCCCAGACCACGCAGGGACUAAGAGCCUGACUCCAGAUCAGCACGUGGGGCUCGCGGACUCUGUAGAAAGCAAAAGCAGCAGUCGUUCUUACCCUCUCUUACCUCAACAAGAGGUUUAUUACUUUCAGCCAAAAGGAUGGGAAUUGGAGGAAAGAAAUACCCCAGGCAUCAGCUGGCGGCGAGGCCCAGCUUCCCCUCAAGGCCGAGGCCAGGAGCUAAGCUCACCAAGACCGCCCUGCUGGGGACCUCGCACCCCCAACCUGACCCUAGAGAUGGCAGUGACUUUCAUCCUUGGGUUGGUUUUCUAGUUUCUGCCCCAGAGCUUUGUGGCAGGCUCUGUGGCAGGCUUUGGACUUCUGACCUCCAGAACUGUAAAAACUGUAAGUCUGUGUUGGUUUAAGCCACAAAGAUUACAAUUGUAUGUUACAGAAGCAAUAGGAAACUGAUACAGUCUCCGAGCAUUUUUUAUUGUACCAUACCCAUCAGGAAAAAAAUUUCCAUUGUACUGGCACACGAUGUACAUUAUAAAGCAAAUGUAAACAGCAAUUGUAAAGGAUAAAAUAAACAGGAUACAACUAAUGUUUCAAAAUGCA
This is a non-coding RNA of Microcebus murinus (gray mouse lemur), 2182 nucleotides long. The record is from RefSeq and is a predicted model, not a curated record. Lineage: Eukaryota; Metazoa; Chordata; Mammalia; Primates; Cheirogaleidae.